GGGCGGUGCGGCCUCGGGCUCCCGGGGCCUUGGCGGGGGCCUCCCCGCGCCGCGCUCUCCCAGCCUAGCAGCCCCGCCCCGCCCGGCGGCCCAGGGCCCCUCAGGCCCGCACUGCCGAGGCUCGAACGGCGAACGGGUUCCCGGCCCCGACUUGCUUUGCCCUUGAGGGUCGGGGAGGCCCGAGACUGCCCUCCGGCCGCUCACCAGCUUCCCUUCUCCGCCUCUGCCCGCCCUGUCUGGUCCCCCUGAGCCAGGAGGCCCGGUGGCACCCGGCGCCCAGCCCUCCGGGAGGACCACGCUCGCGCCAUCCGUCGCCCGCAGGACACAGGAGGCAUCGAGAUUGGGGGCGUCCCCACAGCCCCACAGCCCUCGGACGCGUGGUGCCCUUUUCUGACUUAAAACAUUCGUCUUGCACCAGUAUUCACACGAUCGAAGUUUCAGUGUGCCUAGCUUUUCCUCCAAGGACAAAAAUGUGAAUAAAGCAAUAUUUUAGCC
This 495-nucleotide long non-coding RNA is filed under the name Equus caballus (horse). RNAcentral's name for it is "lncRNA (ENSECAG00000035391.2)". Lineage: Eukaryota; Metazoa; Chordata; Mammalia; Perissodactyla; Equidae. The record is from RNAcentral.